UUUGUUUUCACAUCUUUUGAAAGAUAAGUGAAAUUCCUUCAGAGUCCACACCCAUGCUUUUAUAAACCUCUGAUACACUAACAAAUCCAAAGAAAAAUUGAAAACAAGCGAGAAAAAGGAGACAGAAAAUGCACAAGAUACACCGCCCUUUUUGUUUGUUUGUGAUUCAGGGCUCAGGAUUGACUGGGUCCUCGGGAGGGGACUCGAGGGCAGAAGGAUCUAUUAAUCUUACAACUAUGUGUUUCAUUUUCCAAGUGGUCAGUUUUUUAGGUUACUUUAUGAAAAACUGAAAUGGAACACAGAAUAUGAACAAUUUCUCAGGGUAAGAGCAGCUAGAUGUAAAAAUAACAUAAUGCAAUUAAAGAAGAAAUCUUCCAGCAAAUAGAACCCCAUUUCGGGGAUUUUCACCGUGGGCGUGAGGGUCACACAAGACUGAAGCCCGCCCAGGAGCAGGCGAGGUCACUGCAGGUGGUCAGUUACAGAGCUCUGCGUCAUAGCCCUCUGGCCCCAGACAAAAUUCACUCAUCUAUACAUUUGCUUGAAAAUGCAUUAUUUGAUAUUCAUUUUGUAUACUUAAAUACAAAAUGAAAUGUAACCUGAUAUUGAAAAUAAAAACUCCAGGCAACGUCUACAUUUCUAUGUAUUUAGUCUUUUCAAGGUCUACAUUUUAAAAGCAAGAAAUGAACAAAGUUAGGAAUACAUUAUUACUCUGGCA
This 715-nucleotide long non-coding RNA is filed under the name Homo sapiens (human). Its description in RNAcentral is "long non-coding RNA NONHSAT208521". Lineage: Eukaryota; Metazoa; Chordata; Mammalia; Primates; Hominidae. The record is from RNAcentral.